RNAcentral lists this ribosomal RNA (354 nucleotides) under uncultured bacterium. RNAcentral describes it as "bacterial SSU rRNA". It matches the Rfam family "Bacterial small subunit ribosomal RNA", at positions 1 to 334 of the family's 1533-position model. The record is from RNAcentral.
GACGUGACUUCAGAGUUUGAUCCUGGCUCAGGACGAACGCUGGCGGCAUGCUUAACACAUGCAAGUCGAACGAGAAUCAACGGAUAGAGGCUUCGGCCAAUUGAAGUUGAGGACAGUGGCGGACGGGUGAGUAACGCGUGAGGAACCUGCCUUUCAGAGGGGGACAACAGUUGGAAACGACUGCUAAUACCGCAUGAUGCAUCGGAGUCGCAUGGCUCUGAUGCCAAAGAUUUAUCGCUGAAAGAUGGCCUCGCGUCUGAUUAGCUAGUUGGUGAGGUAACGGCCCACCAAGGCGACGAUCAGUAGCCGGACUGAGAGGUUGAACGGCCACAUUGGGACUGAGAUACGGCCCAG